UGGGGAAUUUUGGACAAUGGGCGAAAGCCUGAUCCAGCAAUGCCGCGUGUGUGAAGAAGGCCUUCGGGUUGUAAAGCACUUUUGUCCGGAAAGAAAUCCUUGGCUCUAAUACAGUCGGGGGAUGACGGUACCGGAAGAAUAAGCACCGGCUAACUACGUGCCAGCAGCCGCGGUAAUACGUAGGGUGCAAGCGUUAAUCGGAAUUACUGGGCGUAAAGCGUGCGCAGGCGGUUUGCUAAGACCGAUGUGAAAUCCCCGGGCUCAACCUGGGAACUGCAUUGGUGACUGGCAGGCUAGAGUAUGGCAGAGGGGGGUAGAAUUCCACGUGUAGCAGUGAAAUGCGUAGAGAUGUGGAGGAAUACCGAUGGCGAAGGCAGCCCCCUGGGCCAAAUACUGACGCUCAUGCACGAAAGCGUGGGGAGCAAACAGGAUUNGAUACCCUGGUAGUCCACGCCCUAAACGAUGUCAACUAGUUGUUGGGGAUUCAUUUCCUUAGUAACGUAGCUAACGCGUGAAGUUGACCGCCUGGGGAGUACGGUCGCAAGAUUAAAACUCAAAUUGAAUUGACGGGGUCAUAGCUGUUUCU
This 586-nucleotide ribosomal RNA is filed under the name uncultured bacterium. RNAcentral describes it as "partial 16S ribosomal RNA". It matches the Rfam family "Bacterial small subunit ribosomal RNA", at positions 355 to 937 of the family's 1533-position model. The record is from RNAcentral.